Molecule: long non-coding RNA, 1335 nt
Organism: Haliotis rubra (blacklip abalone)
Lineage: Eukaryota; Metazoa; Mollusca; Gastropoda; Lepetellida; Haliotidae
Exons: 2
Source: RefSeq, a predicted model, not a curated record
CCACGGUGAUAUUGCUGGAAUAUUGCAAAAAGCGGCGUAAAACCAUACUUACUCACACACCCAUUCACUUGCAUAGAUGCAUAUCAAGUGUUAUCUACACAGUGUUCGCAGUAGGAAUAAAAGCUUCGCGUCCUUAAAACACGUAUUCCCUGGAGUCUUGCUUGAGCACGAACUUUCACCCAUUGAACGAGUUUUACAGUUUCAUAAAUAGUUUGGUUUAUUAGCCAUUUUCAGCAAUGUAAAUUAUUUCAGCAACGUACGAAGGGCAAAAUCAAUGCCAUGCCAUCCCAUCCCAUCACCUUACUCCGCGUUGUGUCGUUUACGUCACGUGACCUUUAAACUGUUUGAGGAUUGGCCAGAAACUUCGCUUGUUCUUUGUUCCAGCAGUCUCGCACUGAUUGCGGAUCUCGUUCCACAAAUCACUGUUAGCCCUAAGUUGGGGGUUAUAACGGAAUAGCUGCAUGACAUACACAUUGUUUACGGAAACUGCAGUAUCAACAACAAACGUUACGGUAACGGGGAGGUGUGGCACACAACACGUGACUCGAAAAUGUAAUUUCCGAACCGCGAUUAACUAUGUAUGGUAUGAAUUCGUGACAUAUAUGGUCAUACACGGUUCGGAGUUUUGCACGCCAUCGGGCGAAGUCGCUAUUUAUAAACCUGGGGAAUCCCAACUUUCGGUAACUUUAACAUGUCACAACGGACAAUGUACAUUUCAGUAUCAUGAGAAUGAAGGAAGUAAUUUAAAGAUGUAACUACCCUGAAGACAAAAUGUUUGCGUGCUUGAAACGUAGAUUUGUUUCCGUGAAACUCGCAGGUUUUUGAGUUAACGCGAACAUUGCUACAUACGCAAAUACGCACGCGCACGCACGUGUACGCGCACACAGACACAUACACACCCAUACACAUAUACACGCAUGUAAAAUAUGCAUUUUGUGACGGCGAUAAAGCAAGAACGAUAUAAAUAUAAAGUAAGAUAAUCAAUCACCUGCAAUGCUCCACUGCUACUGUAAUAUUGAAUACUUCUAUCUUUAGCAUUUCAGAAGCAGUUAUUAAAAGAUAUUUUCAGGAAAUAAUUUUAGUAGUACAAAUAGUAUUAAUUAAAAACAGCUCUUUACAUGUGAGUUCAAACAAUAUCACCACUGAACUUCCCAUCUGAUGGAAGAAACGGCAAAAUGGUAGGGUAUGACAAUGUACCAUCAUUGUGUUUGUAUGUGUGUUGUUUCAAUUUCCUGUUUUGUAAUUAGCUCGCUCUCUUCUGGGUGUAUCUCAUCCUCUCAAGUAAAGUACUGCUUGUAGUUUAUGCGCAUGGAAAUAAAAUAAAUUCUGUUUACA